GGGGGAUAUUGCGCAAUGGGGGCAACCCUGACGCAGCAACGCCGCGUGAAGGAUGAAGGUUUUCGGAUUGUAAACUUCUUUUAUUAAGGACGAAAAAUGACGGUACUUAAUGAAUAAGCUCCGGCUAACUACGUGCCAGCAGCCGCGGUAAUACGUAGGGAGCAAGCGUUGUCCGGAUUUACUGGGUGUAAAGGGUGCGUAGGCGGCUUUGCAAGUCAGAUGUGAAAUCUAUGGGCUCAACCCAUAAACUGCAUUUGAAACUGUAGAGCUUGAGUGAAGUAGAGGCAGGCGGAAUUCCCCGUGUAGCGGUGAAAUGCGUAGAGAUGGGGAGGAACACCAGUGGCGAAGGCGGCCUGCUGGGCUUUAACUGACGCUGAGGCACGAAAGCGUGGGUAGCAAACAGGAUUAGAUACCCUGGUAGUCCACGCUGUAAACGAUGAUUACUAGGUGUGGGGGGUCUGACCCCUUCCGUGCCGGAGUUAACACAAUAAGUAAUCCACCUGGGGAGUACGGCCGCAAGGUUGAAACUCAAAGGAAUUGACGGGGGCCCGCACAAGCAGUGGAGUAUGUGGUUUAAUUCGAAGCAACGCGAAGAACCUUACCAGGUCUUGACAUCCAACUAACGAAGUAGAGAUACAUUAGGUGCCCUUCGGGGAAAGUUGAGACAGGUGGUGCAUGGUUGUCGUCAGCUCGUGUCGUGAGAUGUUGGGUUAAGUCCCGCAACGAGCGCAACCCUUGCUAUUAGUUGCUACGCAAGAGCACUCUAAUAGGACUGCCGUUGACAAAACGGAGGAAGGUGGGGACGACGUCAAAUCAUCAUGCCCCUUAUGACCUGGGCUACACACGUACUACAAUGGAUAUUAACAGAGGGAAGCAAGACAGCGAUGUGGAGCAAACCCCUAAAAACAUUCUCAGUUCAGAUUGCAGGCUGCAACCCGCCUGCAUGAAGAUGGAAUUGCUAGUAAUCGCGGAUCAGCAUGCCGCGGUGAAUACGUUCCCG
RNAcentral lists this ribosomal RNA (1000 nucleotides) under uncultured organism. RNAcentral's name for it is "bacterial SSU rRNA". It matches the Rfam family "Bacterial small subunit ribosomal RNA", at positions 356 to 1376 of the family's 1533-position model. The record is from RNAcentral.